This is a non-coding RNA of Xylariaceae sp. AK1471, 113 nucleotides long. NCBI's taxonomy places the organism in Eukaryota, Fungi, Ascomycota, Sordariomycetes, Xylariales, Xylariaceae. The record is from the annotation of a GenBank genome assembly.
CCCAGAGUGGUGUAAUGGUAGCAUCCCUAGUUGACACAUGGUAGAAGGGAGUGGCGUAGUAAACCAUGCCCUUCGGGGGCCGGGGGGUCCGGGUUCGAUUCCUGGCUCUGGGA